This 232-nucleotide unclassified non-coding RNA is filed under the name Hevea brasiliensis (rubber tree). Lineage: Eukaryota; Viridiplantae; Streptophyta; Magnoliopsida; Malpighiales; Euphorbiaceae. The record is from RNAcentral.
GGCAUUAGCAAAGUUAUCUUAGUUCUUUUUUUCAUGUCUUCUUUAAUCAGUAGUGUGGGGGCUAGCUUGAGAGCACCUCCUCAACUGAUCUGCAGGGCAACUUGGCUGGAUCACAAGCAUAGUUUCCCAAAUCAUGCCCAUCAAGGCUGAAGCAUAUGGGAAUACCAAGUAUUGUAGCUGGGAUUUGAACCUGGCGUCCACAUUGUUGCUCUCAUGCCUCAACCACUAAGCC